RNAcentral lists this ribosomal RNA (253 nucleotides) under uncultured bacterium. Its description in RNAcentral is "partial 16S ribosomal RNA". It matches the Rfam family "Bacterial small subunit ribosomal RNA", at positions 524 to 776 of the family's 1533-position model. The record is from RNAcentral.
UACGUAGGGUGCAAGCGUUGUCCGGAAUUAUUGGGCGUAAAGAGCUUGUAGGCGGUUUGUCGCGUCUGCUGUGAAAUUUCGGGGCUCAACCCCGAACUUGCAGUGGGUACGGGCAGACUAGAGUGUGGUAGGGGAGACUGGAAUUCCUGGUGUAGCGGUGAAAUGCGCAGAUAUCGGGAGGAACACCAAUGGCGAAGGCAGCUCGCUGGGACGGUACUGACGCUGAGGCGCGAAAGCGUGGGGAGCAAACAGG